This 468-nucleotide ribosomal RNA is filed under the name uncultured bacterium. Its description in RNAcentral is "partial 16S ribosomal RNA". It matches the Rfam family "Bacterial small subunit ribosomal RNA", at positions 28 to 507 of the family's 1533-position model. The record is from RNAcentral.
GACGAACGCUGGCGGCGUGCUUAACACAUGCAAGUCGAACGGAAAGGCCCUGCUUGUGUGGGGUGCUCGAGUGGCGAACGGGUGUGUAACACGUGUGUAACCUGCCCUUGACUUGGGUAUAACUUCAGGAAACUGGGGCUUAUACCGGAUAGGCGCGCCUGCUGCAGGGUGGGGGUUGGAAAGUUUCGGCGGUUGGGGAUGGACUCGCGGCUUAUCAGCUUGUUGGUGGGGUAGUGGCUUACCAAGGCGUUGACGGGUAGCCGGCCUGAGAGGGUGACCGGCCACAUUGGGACUGAGAUACGGCCCAGACUCCUACGGGAGGCAGCAGUGGGGAAUAUUGCACAAUGGGCGGAAGCCUGAUGCAGCAACGCCGCGUGCGGGAUGACGGCCUUCGGGUUGUAAACCGCUUUCGCCUGUGACGAAGCGUGAGUGACGGUAAUGGGUAAAGAAGCACCGGCUAACUACGUG